Molecule: ribosomal RNA, 700 nt
Filed under: Burkholderia cepacia
Lineage: Bacteria; Pseudomonadati; Pseudomonadota; Betaproteobacteria; Burkholderiales; Burkholderiaceae
Also listed under: 1 other name
Description: bacterial SSU rRNA
Rfam family: Bacterial small subunit ribosomal RNA
Source: RNAcentral
CUGGUGGCGAGUGGCGAACGGGUGAGUAAUACAUCGGAACAUGUCCUGUAGUGGGGGAUAGCCCGGCGAAAGCCGGAUUAAUACCGCAUACGAUCUACGGAUGAAAGCGGGGGACCUUCGGGCCUCGCGCUAUAGGGUUGGCCGAUGGCUGAUUAGCUAGUUGGUGGGGUAAAGGCCUACCAAGGCGACGAUCAGUAGCUGGUCUGAGAGGACGACCAGCCACACUGGGACUGAGACACGGCCCAGACUCCUACGGGAGGCAGCAGUGGGGAAUUUUGGACAAUGGGCGAAAGCCUGAUCCAGCAAUGCCGCGUGUGUGAAGAAGGCCUUCGGGUUGUAAAGCACUUUUGUCCGGAAAGAAAUCCUUGGCUCUAAUACAGUCGGGGGAUGACGGUACCGGAAGAAUAAGCACCGGCUAACUACGUGCCAGCAGCCGCGGUAAUACGUAGGGUGCAAGCGUUAAUCGGAAUUACUGGGCGUAAAGCGUGCGCAGGCGGUUUGCUAAGACCGAUGUGAAAUCCCCGGGCUCAACCUGGGAACUGCAUUGGUGACUGGCAGGCUAGAGUAUGGCAGAGGGGGGUAGAAUUCCACGUGUAGCAGUGAAAUGCGUAGAGAUGUGGAGGAAUACCGAUGGCGAAGGCAGCCCCCUGGGCCAAUACUGACGCUCAUGCACGAAAGCGUGGGGAGCAAACAGGAUUAG